This 469-nucleotide ribosomal RNA is filed under the name uncultured bacterium. RNAcentral's name for it is "partial 16S ribosomal RNA". It matches the Rfam family "Bacterial small subunit ribosomal RNA", at positions 28 to 507 of the family's 1533-position model. The record is from RNAcentral.
GACGAACGCUGGCGGCGUGCUUAACACAUGCAAGUCGAACGGAAAGGCCCUGCUUUUGUGGGGUGCUCGAGUGGCGAACGGGUGAGUAACACGUGAGUAACCUGCCCACAACUUUGGGAUAACGCUAGGAAACUGGUGCUAAUACUGGAUAUGUGCUCCUGCUGCAUGGUGGGGGUUGGAAAGCUCCGGCGGUUGUGGAUGGACUCGCGGCCUAUCAGCUUGUUGGUGGGGUAGUGGCCUACCAAGGCGGCGACGGGUAGCCGGCCUGAGAGGGUGACCGGCCACAUUGGGACUGAGAUACGGCCCAGACUCCUACGGGAGGCAGCAGUGGGGAAUAUUGCACAAUGGGCGCAAGCCUGAUGCAGCAACGCCGCGUGCGGGAUGACGGCCUUCGGGUUGUAAACCGCUUUCAGCAGGGACGAAGCUUUUUGUGACGGUACCUGCAGAAGAAGCACCGGCUAACUACGUG